This 382-nucleotide ribosomal RNA is filed under the name uncultured bacterium. Its description in RNAcentral is "bacterial SSU rRNA". It matches the Rfam family "Bacterial small subunit ribosomal RNA", at positions 28 to 412 of the family's 1533-position model. The record is from RNAcentral.
GACGAACGCUGGCGGCGUGCUUAACACAUGCAAGUCGAACGAUGAAGCCCUUUCGGGGGUGGAUUAGUGGCGAACGGGUGAGUAACACGUGGGUAACCUGCCCUCGUACCCUGGGAUAAGCCUUGGAAACGAGGUCUAAUACCGGAUAUGACCUGCUCUCGCAUGGGGGUGGUGGAAAGUUUGGCGGUGCAGGAUGGACCCGCGGCCUAUCAGCUUGUUGGUGGGGUGAUGGCCUACCAAGGCGACGACGGGUAGCCGGCCUGAGAGGGCGACCGGCCACACUGGGACUGAGACACGGCCCAGACUCCUACGGGAGGCAGCAGUGGGGAAUAUUGCACAAUGGGGCGAAAGCCUGAUGCAGCGACGCCGCGUGAGGGAUGAC